RNAcentral lists this ribosomal RNA (446 nucleotides) under uncultured bacterium. Its description in RNAcentral is "partial 16S ribosomal RNA". It matches the Rfam family "Bacterial small subunit ribosomal RNA", at positions 338 to 795 of the family's 1533-position model. The record is from RNAcentral.
CCUACGGGGUGCAGCAGUCGAGAAUCAUUCACAAUGGGGGAAACCCUGAUGGUGCGACGCCGCGUGGGGGAAUGAAGGUCUUCGGAUUGUAAACCCCUGUCAUGUGGGAGCAAAUUAAAAAGAUAGUACCACAAGAGGAAGAGACGGCUAACUCUGUGCCAGCAGCCGCGGUAAUACAGAGGUCUCAAGCGUUGUUCGGAAUCACUGGGCGUAAAGCGUGCGUAGGCUGUUUCGUAAGUCGUGUGUGAAAGGCGCGGGCUCAACCCGCGGACGGCACAUGAUACUGCGAGACUAGAGUAAGGGAGGGGGAACCGGAAUUCUCGGUGUAGCAGUGAAAUGCGUAGAUAUCGAGAGGAACACUCGUGGCGAAGGCGGGUUCCUGGACAGUAACUGACGCUGAGGCACGAAGGCCAGGGGAGCGAAAGGGAUUAGAUACCCGAGUAGUC